GUUUGAUCAUGGCUCAGGACGAACGCUGGCGGCGCGCCUAACACAUGCAAGUCGAACGGAGAUUACAGGCGGAAGUUUUCGGAUGGAAGCUUGUAAACUUAGUGGCGGACGGGUGAGUAACACGUGAGCAACCUGCCUAUCAGAGGGGGAUAACGAUUGGAAACGAUCGCUAAUACCGCAUGACAUAGCGGAACCGCAUGGUUCUGUUAUCAAAGAUUUUAUCGCUGAUAGAUGGGCUCGCGUCCGAUUAGAUAGUUGGUGGGGUAACGGCCUACCAAGUCGACGAUCGGUAGCCGGACUGAGAGGUCGAACGGCCACAUUGGGACUGAGACACGGCCCAGACUCCUACGGGAGGCAGCAGUGGGGGAUAUUGCACAAUGGGGGAAACCCUGAUGCAGCGACGCCGCGUGAGGGAAGACGGUCCUCUGGAUUGUAAACCUCUGUCUUCGGGGACGAAAGUAGACGGUACCCGAGGAGGAAGCCACGGCUAACUACGUGCCAGCAGCCGCGGUAAUACGUAGGUGGCAAGCGUUGUCCGGAAUUACUGGGUGUAAAGGGAGCGUAGGCGGGCAGGCAAGUCAGGCGUGAAAUAUAUCGGCUCAACCGGUAACGGCGCUUGAAACUG
This 625-nucleotide ribosomal RNA is filed under the name uncultured bacterium. RNAcentral describes it as "bacterial SSU rRNA". It matches the Rfam family "Bacterial small subunit ribosomal RNA", at positions 11 to 635 of the family's 1533-position model. The record is from RNAcentral.